GACGAACGCUGGCGGCGUGCUUAACACAUGCAAGUCGAACGGUAAGGCCCCUUCGGGGGUACACGAGUGGCGAACGGGUGAGUAACACGUGAGCAACCUACCCUUGACACCGGAAUAAGCCCGAGAAAUCGGGUCUAAUACCGGAUACUUACCCUCGCGGACAUCCGUGAGGGUAGAAAGCUCCGGCGGUCAGGGAUUGGCUCGCGGCCUAUCAGCUAGUUGGUGAGGUAACGGCUCACCAAGGCUUCGACGGGUAGCCGGCCUGAGAGGGCGACCGGCCACACUGGGACUGAGAUACGGCCCAGACUCCUACGGGAGGCAGCAGUGGGGAAUAUUGCACAAUGGGCGCAAGCCUGAUGCAGCAACGCCGCGUGCGGGAUGACGGCCUUCGGGUUGUAAACCGCUUUCAGCGCCGACGAAGCGCAAGUGACGGUAGGCGCAGAAGAAGGACCGGCCGACUACGUGCCAGCAGCCGCGGUGAUACGUAGGGUCCGAGCGUUGUCCGGAAUUAUUGGGCGUAAAGGGCUUGUAGGCGGUCUGCCGCGUCGGAAGUGAAAACUCAGGGCUUAACUCUGAGCCUGCUUCCGAUACGGGCGGACUAGAGGAAUGCAGGGGAGAAUGGAAUACCUGGUGGAGCGGUGGAAUGCGCAGAUAUCAGGUGGAACACCAGUGGCGAAGGGCGGUUCUCUGGGCAUUUCCUGACGCUGAGAAGCGAAAGCGUGGGGAGCAAACAGGCUUAGAUACCCUGGUAGUCCACGCCGUAAACGGUGGGCACUAGGUGUGGGACUCAUUCCACGAGUUCCGUGCCGUAGCUAACGCAUUAAGUGCCCCGCCUGGGGAGUACGGCCGCAAGGCUAAAACUCAAAGGAAUUGACGGGGGCCCGCACAAGCGGCGGAGCAUGCGGAUUAAUUCGAUGCAACGCGAAGAACCUUACCUGGGUUUGACAUAUACCGGAAAGCUGCAGAGAUGUAGCCCCCGCAAGGUCGGCAUACAGGUGGUGCAUGGCUGUCGUCAGCUCGUGUCGUGAGAUGUUGGGUUAAGUCCCGCAACGAGCGCAACCCUCGUCCUAUGUUGCCAGCGGAUAAUGCCGGGGACUCAUAGGAGACUGCCGGGGUCAACUCGGAGGAAGGUGGGGAUGACGUCAAGUCAUCAUGCCCCUUAUGUCCAGGGCUUCACGCAUGCUACAAUGGCUGGUACAAAGAGCUGCGAGACCGCAAGGUCAAGCGAAUCUCAAAAAGCCAGUCUCAGUUCGGAUUGGGGUCUGCAACUCGACCCCAUGAAGUCGGAGUCGCUAGUAAUCGCAGAUCAGCAAUGCUGCGGUGAAUACGUUCCCGGGCCUUGUACUCACCGC
This 1352-nucleotide ribosomal RNA is filed under the name uncultured bacterium. RNAcentral describes it as "bacterial SSU rRNA". It matches the Rfam family "Bacterial small subunit ribosomal RNA", at positions 28 to 1393 of the family's 1533-position model. The record is from RNAcentral.